GUGUCAGCCGCCGCGGUAAUACGAAGGGGGCUAGCGUUGCUCGGAAUCACUGGGCGUAAAGGGUGCGUAGGCGGGUCUUUAAGUCAGGGGUGAAAUCCUGGAGCUCAACCCCAGAACUGCCCUUGAUACUGAGGAUCUUGAGUUCGGGAGAGGUGAGUGGAACUGCGAGUGUAGAGGUGAAAUUCGUAGAUAUUCGCAAGAACACCAGUGGCGAAGGCGGCUCACUGGCCCGAUACUGACGCUGAGGCACGAAAGCGUGGGGAGCAAACAGGAUUAGAUACCCUGGUAGUCC
This 292-nucleotide ribosomal RNA is filed under the name uncultured Bradyrhizobium sp. Its description in RNAcentral is "partial 16S ribosomal RNA". It matches the Rfam family "Bacterial small subunit ribosomal RNA", at positions 505 to 796 of the family's 1533-position model. Lineage: Bacteria; Pseudomonadati; Pseudomonadota; Alphaproteobacteria; Hyphomicrobiales; Nitrobacteraceae. The record is from RNAcentral.